UACGUAGGGUGCAAGCGUUAAUCGGAAUUACUGGGCGUAAAGCGUGCGCAGGCGGUGAUGUAAGACAGAUGUGAAAUCCCCGGGCUCAACCUGGGAACUGCAUUGUGACUGCAUUGCUGGAGUGCGGCAGAGGGGGAUGGAAUUCCGCGUGUAGCAGUGAAAUGCGUAGAUAUGCGGAGGAACACCGAUGGCGAAGGCAAUCCCCUGGGCCUGCACUGACGCUCAUGCACGAAAGCGUGGGGAGCAAACAGG
Molecule: ribosomal RNA, 252 nt
Filed under: uncultured bacterium
Lineage: Bacteria
Description: partial 16S ribosomal RNA
Rfam family: Bacterial small subunit ribosomal RNA
Source: RNAcentral